Long non-coding RNA from Manihot esculenta (cassava), 2248 nucleotides. RefSeq lists it as uncharacterized. The transcript is spliced from 2 exons. The record is from RefSeq and is a predicted model, not a curated record. Lineage: Eukaryota; Viridiplantae; Streptophyta; Magnoliopsida; Malpighiales; Euphorbiaceae.
GACUCAUAUUAGAAGUCUCCCCACAAGUAUUUGAUUCUUCAUAUUUGAAGGUAGUCCUAUCCAGCUAGUCGACGCGUGUAAGCUUUUUAUUGGCCGCAUUUAUAUGUCGCUUCACAUGUGCUUGAUUUCAACAUUGAUGCCUCGUUCUCUCCCACAUAUUUAUUGCUCUUCAUUAUUGCCUUUACUUUUAAACCGUAAUUUCCCCAUCUUCUCUCAUUUUUGCCUUAUCUUUGCUUGCGUAUCUACUUUCUACGUCUUCUUUUUCAGUGCUUUCAUUUCGCCAUUUCCAUUCUCAUCUUCAUAUUCCCAAGUGAUUUCACAUCCUUCCUCAUGAACUUUAUGGUUUUUAUUGAGAAUGAUUUAGAUCAGCUAGUCAUCUUCUUCCUUCCCUACCCUAGAGUCUGUAUGCACUCUAUAAACAACUCCUCUAUAAAUUCGUCCUUGAAUUAAUUCUUCCAAUUCCUUUUACAACCAAAUACAUGCUCCUGCUCUAGUCAUGCCUUCGAGGGAAAACCAUAGUGACGGAGAAAGCCUGAUUAUUCACGAUACUCACUCAAUUAUAAUAAAAAGGCAUCUGGAGCAUUUAACGACAAUUUAUCAAAUCUUGAAUGACUUGUUUAAGGUUCUAGCUCCAAGGUCCAACGUAUGUGCCAACUGAGUAGCCCCUGAGGACACCAUAAUUGUUUAUAAGGAACAAAUGAGGCAGGGUUAAGGUUCCUUAUGGACCUUUUUUUAUCCAAGAUUUGGCCUUCUACAAGCUUUAUGUUGUCCAAAUUCACUCCAAUUGCUAGAGGUUUCUAUGUCAACUAAAGAGAUGGAAAAAUAAGUCCUUUCUCGUGAGGCACCGAGUCUCACAAGGUUUGGCAGCCUUCAAACUGAGUGGAAUUUUCCUUACAAAGCUUCAAAAGGAGGGUAAAAACCAUACCCAAGAAGAAAUUGAGUCGAUUGAGUGCUUGAAGAAACUUGCCACACAAAGGAAGCUUUAUGUAACGGUAGGAGUAAGGAAAGUUACGCUGCUAUGGUUAAGUCAACAGGAGGCAGAAAGGGCAAGGGAUUCCAGACCAACCACCCAGGCUAUGGAUCCCUACUGAUUACUUGGGCAAGAGCCCCCAAGACAAGGGUAUGGCUAGAGGAAAAAAGAAGAUGGGCUGAGUCUGUUCAUGCCGCAAGAAAAGACAAAGCCCCUGCCACCCAGAAUGCUCCUUGUCCCAAGCAUCCUUAGGGCGCAGGAAUAAUGAUUGAGCUGUAAGAAAAUCGGCCACUUCCUCCUUGUCCUCAACAAACUAAUCUUUCCUUAUUGCCUAAGAAACUAUCAAAAGUCCUCCUUCACCUCCUCCACCGCCUCCGAUUCCAAGACCAAGGCAACCUGAGGCAGUAGGGUCUUCUUCCAAGCUAAUGAGCAUUAAAAAGCUAGCAGAUGUGUGCACCCGAGUUGAUUGCCUUCUCGAUACUCCUAAGCUUUCCUCCCUAAUAGCCAAGAUAGUAAUGUUACAUGGUGACCAAAAUUGUUUGGCAAUCGAGAUGGACGAUCUAUUUCUACAUGGGGUUGAUACCUCAAUGGAGAUUGUUUUAACUCGCAGAUGGCAAGGGAGAGAGAAAAAGCUAUGAAGAAUGAGUUCGGGACUUCCAAAUAUGGAGAAGUAUUUUGAUGGAAGAGAGUCAAGGUUUGAAGGCUUGAGUGGAGGAGAUCAAGACAAUAAUAAAUGAGACUAUGAAGUCUGUUGAGAAGUUGCAAGUUAAUCUUCUACGAGCAGAUUCUUAAAAAGUUGAGUUCAAUAGGAGAGCAAGGCCAACAGAGGAGAGGUCGCAGGGGCUGGAAGGGAGGAUUAGAGAGUUUGAGGUCCAGCUAAAGGAGUCUUGCGCUACUACUGCUAGGGUCCCCCAACUUGAACAUGAGCUAGAUAAGAGUGUAUCCUAGGCUGGCAGGCUCUAAGUUGAAACUCAAGAGGCUGUGAAGCCAAUUAAGGACUUAAGCUGGAUUGAUGACUUAGUCCCUGAAGACGAUGAAGAUACUAAGAUCCUCAAUUUCCUCUAAAGUUGAAUUCCUUAGGCCUCAUGAUUCAAACAUAAAUGAUGUAAAUAUAAAUGCCUCUUGCACUGCGGUUAGGGAGGAGGGAAACAAGGACCCUCCUGCCUAGUAGCUGUAGACAUUUAUUAAUGAAAUAUUUUUCAUUUUUCGAAUCUUUUAGCUUCUUGUUUUUAAGAACUCAUAUCCUAACUAAUAAAGUAUUUUAGAGUUUAACACCUA